This 963-nucleotide ribosomal RNA is filed under the name uncultured eukaryote. RNAcentral's name for it is "bacterial SSU rRNA". It matches the Rfam family "Eukaryotic small subunit ribosomal RNA", at positions 608 to 1425 of the family's 1831-position model. The record is from RNAcentral.
AGUUGUUGCGGUUAAAACGUUCGUAGUUGAAUUUGUGCUUCAGACGGGUGGUACAAUUACCAUUGUAGUUUGUACUAUACCUUAACUAUGCAAGCGUAUUACCGGUGGAGUUCUUAUAUAUGAUUAAUGCUUGCAUUUUUUUAUAUAUUCCUCCAUUUAAACCUGCUUCGUUGCUCUUCAUCGUGUGCUCUUGUGGGCCGGUACAGUUACCUUGAACAAUUAAAGUGCUUAAAGCAGGCUCGAAAUCCCUGAAUAUUUUGUGCAUGGUAUAAUGAAACAAGACCUCUGUUCUAUUUCAUUGGUUUAUAGAUUAAGAGGUAAUGAUUAAUAGAAGCAGUCUGGGAGCAUUAGUAUUACGACUCGCGAGGUGAAAUUCUUGGACCGUCGUAAGACUAUUUUAGCGAAAGCUUUGCCACAGAUGUUUUCAUUAUUCAAGAACGAAAGUGAGAGGUUGGAAGGCGAUCAGAUACCUCCCUAGUUCUAUCCAUAAACGAUCCAGCCAGCAAUUGGGUGUAGCUACUACUAUGGCUCUCUCUCUCGCUUCCCGGGAAACCGAUAGCUUGUGGGCUCCGGGGGAAGUACGGUUGCACAGCUGAAACUUAAAGGAAUUGACGGAAGGGCACCACCAGGAGUGGACCUUGCCGCUUAAUUUGACUCAACACGGGAAAACUUCCCAGGUCGGAACAUAAGCGUGUAGGACAGAUUGAUAGAUCUUUCUCGAAUCUCUCCGCGGUGGGGCAUGUCCGUUCUUAGUUCGUGGAGUGAUUGGUAUGGUUAAUUCCGAUAACGAACGAGACUCAAAUAUAUUAAAUAGAUUCUUUCAGGAUUAUGGUAGUGAAGCAUGUAUAGCCUUCAUUCAUGAUGGCAGUAAAACGUUGAAAGUUUGAAUGCGCUUAUAUUAGUGGAGCUGUACCUGUUGGUUUGUCCCAUUAUAAGGACACUAGCUUCUUAAAUGGACAAAUC